RNAcentral lists this ribosomal RNA (363 nucleotides) under Systellaspis pellucida. RNAcentral's name for it is "partial 12S ribosomal RNA". Lineage: Eukaryota; Metazoa; Arthropoda; Malacostraca; Decapoda; Oplophoridae. The record is from RNAcentral.
UAUUAUACUUUACUGAAAAUUAAAAUAUACUUGAGUAGUAAUCAGUUAUGUUCUUGAAACUUAAAGGAUUUGGCGGUAUUUUAGUCUAGUUAGGGGAACCUGUUUUAUAAACGAUAAACCACGAAGGAUCUUACCUUUCUUAGUUAGUUCAGUAUGUAUACCGUCAUUAUCAGAUAGUCUCUAUAGAGAGUUGUUAAAAUAAUAAUAUAUUAGGAUAUUAGAUCAAGGUGCAGCUGAUAGGGGGGAAGUAAUGGGUUACAAUAUUGUUAAGAUAUACGGAUGCUAUAGUAGAAUACUAUGUAGAAGGUGGACUUAAGUGUAAUUUUAUUUUAAUAAGGUGAGGUGAUAUUAGCUCUAUAAUAU